GAUGAACGCUGGCGGCGUGCCUAAUACAUGCAAGUCGAGCGAACGGACGAGAAGCUUGCUUUUCUGAUGUUAGCGGCGGACGGGUGAGUAACACGUGGAUAGCCUACCUAUAAGACUGGGAUAACUUCGGGAAACCGGAGCUAAUACCGGAUAAUAUUUUGAACCGCAUGGUUCAAAAGUGAAAGACGGUCCUGCUGUCACUUAUAGAUGGAUCCGCGCUGCAUUAGCUAGUUGGUAAGGUAACGGCUUACCAGGGCAACGAUGCAUAGCCGACCUGAGAGGGUGAUCGGCCACACUGGAACUGAGACACGGUCCAGACUCCUACGGGAGGCAGCAGUAGGGAAUCUUCCGCAAUGGGCGAAAGCCUGACGGAGCAACGCCGCGUGAGUGAUGAAGGUCUUCGGAUCGUAAAACUCUGUUAUUAGGGAAGAACAUAUGUGUAAGUAACUGUGCACAUCUUGACGGUACCUAAUCAGAAAGCCACGGCUAACUACGUG
Molecule: ribosomal RNA, 497 nt
Filed under: uncultured bacterium
Lineage: Bacteria
Description: partial 16S ribosomal RNA
Rfam family: Bacterial small subunit ribosomal RNA
Source: RNAcentral